RNAcentral lists this long non-coding RNA (270 nucleotides) under Lathyrus oleraceus (garden pea). RNAcentral describes it as "Pisum sativum (pea) long non-coding RNA (PSAT_LNC007879)". The record is from RNAcentral. Lineage: Eukaryota; Viridiplantae; Streptophyta; Magnoliopsida; Fabales; Fabaceae.
UCGAUAUUUGUUGUUUAUGUUGUUUAUUCAGACCUGUUCGGUUUUAAGUGUGUUUAAGUUGGAGUGAUGUUUGUUGUUAACCUUGUUGUAACAAAAAGUUAUUAAUAUAUCAAAAUCAAAGGUUACAAAAAUUGAAAGGAGGUACUAAAUUAUGAUGCAGAGGUUGCUCAUAGAUUGGAACAUUUUUUCUUAUUGUGUCCAGGUUGACGACAUAUACUACAUAAUCUUAUCAUUUUAUCAAUCGUAUCCAUUUCUGUUCUAACACACGUG